This 504-nucleotide ribosomal RNA is filed under the name uncultured bacterium. Its description in RNAcentral is "bacterial SSU rRNA". It matches the Rfam family "Bacterial small subunit ribosomal RNA", at positions 791 to 1295 of the family's 1533-position model. The record is from RNAcentral.
UAGUCCACACCGUAAACGAUGGUUACUAGCUGUUUGGACUAAUUGAGGUCUAAGUGGCCAAGCGAAAGUGAUAAGUAACCCACCUGGGGAGUACGUUCGCAAGAAUGAAACUCAAAGGAAUUGACGGGGGCCCGCACAAGCGGUGGAGCAUGUGGUUUAAUUCGAUGAUACGCGAGGAACCUUACCAGGGCUUAAAUGCAGUAUGACAGAUUUGGAAACAGAUUUUUCUUCGGACAUAUUGCAAGGUACUGCAUGGUUGUCGUCAGCUCGUGCCGUGAGGUGUCGGGUUAAGUCCUAUAACGAGCGCAACCCCUAUUGCUAGUUGCCAGCGGAUAAUGCCGGGGACUCUAGUGAGACUGCCGGUGCAAACCGUGAGGAAGGUAAGGAUGACGUCAAGUCAGCAUGCCCCUUACGCUCUGGGCUACACACGUGCUACAAUGGUCGUGACAAAGAGUUGCUAGUCUGCGAAGGCAAGCCAAAUCUCAUAAACGCGGCCUUAGUCGG